UAUACGACCGUACCGCAAACCGACACUGGUGCGCGAGAUGAGUAUUCUAAGGCACUUGAGAGAACUCAGGAGAAGGAACUCGGCAAAUUGACACCGUAACUUCGGAAGAAGGUGUGCCCUAUUAGUGUGUAGUGAACAACGAAGCAUGAAUGGGUUGCAAAAAAUCGGAGGCUGCGACUGUUUAUUAAAAACACAGCACUCUGCAAACACGAAAGUGGACGUAUAGGGUGUGACGCCUGCCCGGUGCUGGAAGAUUAAAUGAUGGGGUGCAAGCUCUUGAUUGAAGUCCCAGUAAACGGCGGCCGUACAAUAACGGUCCUAAGGUAGCGAAAUUCCUUGUCGGGUAAGUUCCGACCUGCACGAAUGGCGUAACGAUGGCCACACUGUCUCCUCCUGAGACUCAGCGAAGUUGAAAUGUUUGUGAUGAUGCAAUCUCCCCGCGGGAAGACGGAAAGACCCCAUGAACCUUUACUGUAGCUUUGUAUUGGACUUUGAACAGAUCUGUGUAGGAUAGGUGGGAGGCUUUGAAGCAGGGUCGCUAGAUCUCGUGGAGCCAACGUUGAAAUACCACCCUGGUGUGUUUGAGGUUCUAACCUAGGUCCAUUAUCUGGAUCGGGGACAGUGCAUGGUAGGCAGUUUGACUGGGGCGGUCUCCUCCCAAAGCGUAACGGAGGAGUUCGAAGGUACGCUAGUUACGGUCGGACAUCGUGACGAUAGUGCAAUGGCAUAAGCGUGCUUAACUGCGAGACUGACAAGUCGAGCAGAUGCGAAAGCAGGACAUAGUGAUCCGGUGGUUCUGUAUGGAAGGGCCAUCGCUCAACGGAUAAAAGGUACUCUGGGGAUAACAGGCUGAUACCGCCCAAGAGUUCAUAUCGACGGCGGUGUUCGGCACCUCGAUGUCGGCUCAUCUCAUCCUGGGGCUGUAGCCGGUCCCAAGGGUAUGGCUGUUCGCCAUUUAAAGAGGUACGUGAGCUGGGUUUAAAACGUCGUGAGACAGUUUGGUCCCUAUCUUCCGUGGGCGCUGCAGAUUUGAGGAAGCCUGCUCCUAGUACGAGAGGACCGGAGUGGACACACCUCUGGUGUAUCGGUUGUCACGCCAGUGGCAUUGCCGAGUAGCUAAGUGUGGAAGGGAUAACCGCUGAAAGCAUCUAAGCGGGAAACUCGUUUCAAGAUGAGAUCUGCCGGGGCCUUGAGCCCCCCAAAGAGUCGUUCAAGACCAGGACGUUGAUAGGUCAGGUGUGGAAGCG
Molecule: ribosomal RNA, 1247 nt
Filed under: metagenome
Description: bacterial LSU rRNA
Rfam family: Bacterial large subunit ribosomal RNA
Source: RNAcentral